CCGACAGCCGGUCCCCGGAGAUCUGGGGGGCCGGGGCGGGCUCAGGGAUGCCUCGCACCCGCGGAGAGACGGGCCCGCGACGUGGGAAGAGCAGGCUCCGGGCUCCAGCUCGGGCGCUGCUGAGUUCACCGCCCGGGCUGGGCUUUGCAGGCUGAGCCGCGAGCCACUUGUUUCUGGGGAAAAUUUACUCGCGCGACGAGUUGGAGCUUGAAGGCUCCCGCUGGGCUUGGGCUGCAUCGAGCGGGGUCCGGCGCUGCCUGGCGGCUUCACGCGAGCCCUGGGCGCGGCCCUUGCCGAGGUGCCGGUGCCUUCCUCUGCAGAGACCAGGAGGGAGCUUCGGGGCGUUGGGCGAUGUUGCCCAGAUCGGGCCCGGGACACCCAGACAGAUGAGAUUGUCGCGCUGAAGAAGGUGCGGAUGGACAAGGAGAAGGAUGGCAUCCCCAUCAGCAGCUUGCGGGAGAUCACGCUGCUGCUCCGCCUGCGUCAUCCAAACAUCGUGGAGCUGAAGGAGGUGGUUGUGGGGAACCACCUGGAGAGCAUCUUCCUGGUGAUGGGUUACUGUGAGCAGGACCUGGCCAGCCUCCUGGAGAAUAUGCCAACACCCUUCUCAGAGGCCCAGGUCAAGUGCAUCGUGCUGCAGGUGCUCCGGGGCCUCCAGUAUCUGCACAGGAACUUCAUUAUCCACAGGGACCUGAAGGUUUCCAACUUGCUCAUGACUGACAAGGGUUGUGUGAAGACAGGUGGGUGCAACUUGGGCCAGGCCCUGUCCCUAGAUGGCAGCUUGUCAGCCCUCACUUGGCAACACACGCUUCCCUUUCUGCUGCAGCGGAUUUCGGCCUGGCCCGGGCCUAUGGUGUCCCAGUAAAGCCAAUGACCCCCAAGGUGGUCACUCUCUGGUAAGUCCUUCUGAAGCAUGGUGGCCCC
Molecule: small RNA, 924 nt
Filed under: Pongo abelii (Sumatran orangutan)
Lineage: Eukaryota; Metazoa; Chordata; Mammalia; Primates; Hominidae
Description: retained intron
Source: RNAcentral